CUAUUAUUAUAUCCCUCCACCAAGUGUACACGUGUCAGCACCAAAGGUAUCAUUAACCCUACACUGACUUACUCUUAAAUAGCAUCCGAUAGACCUCGCAUUCACAAUAUCCCUGAAUGUGACCACUCACUUUACCUUAAAGGAGUCAUCCACCUAGGCUUAACUGCGAAUACUAUCCUAAUGUGAUCACACUUCCAAGAUGAUAAUGAGCCUAUUUAGGCAAAACUACCUUGUAUUAGUAGAAUCCCAUGAUAUAUGAUUAUGAUUAUCCACUAC
This 276-nucleotide long non-coding RNA is filed under the name Gossypium barbadense (sea-island cotton). Its description in RNAcentral is "long non-coding RNA (GBAR_LNC007603)". The record is from RNAcentral. Lineage: Eukaryota; Viridiplantae; Streptophyta; Magnoliopsida; Malvales; Malvaceae.